This 404-nucleotide ribosomal RNA is filed under the name Actinomycetes bacterium. RNAcentral describes it as "Actinobacteria bacterium partial 16S ribosomal RNA". It matches the Rfam family "Bacterial small subunit ribosomal RNA", at positions 355 to 776 of the family's 1533-position model. Lineage: Bacteria; Bacillati; Actinomycetota; Actinomycetes. The record is from RNAcentral.
UGGGGAAUAUUGGACAAUGGGCGCAAGCCUGAUCCAGCCAUGCCGCGUGAGUGAUGAAGGCCCUAGGGUUGUAAAGCUCUUUCACCGGUGAAGAUAAUGACGGUAACCGGAGAAGAAGCCCCGGCUAACUUCGUGCCAGCAGCCGCGGUAAUACGAAGGGGGCUAGCGUUGUUCGGAUUUACUGGGAGUAAAGCGCACGUAGGCGGACUUUUAAGUCAGGGGUGAAAUCCCGGGGCUCAACCCCGGAACUGCCUUUGAUACUGGAAGUCUUGAGUAUGGUAGAGGUGAGUGGAAUUCCGAGUGUAGAGGUGAAAUUCGUAGAUAUUCGGAGGAACACCAGUGGCGAAGGCGGCUCACUGGACCAUUACUGACGCUGAGGUGCGAAAGCGUGGGGAGCAAACAGG